AGAGUUUGAUCAUGGCUCAGGAUGAACGCUAGCUACAGGCUUAACACAUGCAAGUCGAGGGGCAGCAUGUUGGUUGCUUGCAACCAACGAUGGCGACCGGCGCACGGGCGAGUAACGCGUAUCCAACCUACCCUUGUCCAUCGGAUAACCCGUCGAAAGGCGGCCUAACACGAUAUGCGGUUCACAGCAGGCAUCUAACGUGAACGAAAUGUAAAGGAGAAGGAUGGGGAUGCGUCUGAUUAGCUUGUUGGCGGGGUAACGCCACAAGGCUACGAUCAGUAGGGGUUCUGAGAGGAAGGUCCCCCCANAUUGGAACUGAGACACGGUCCAAACUCCUACGGGAGCA
RNAcentral lists this ribosomal RNA (346 nucleotides) under uncultured bacterium. RNAcentral's name for it is "bacterial SSU rRNA". It matches the Rfam family "Bacterial small subunit ribosomal RNA", at positions 8 to 349 of the family's 1533-position model. The record is from RNAcentral.